This 1020-nucleotide long non-coding RNA is filed under the name Monodelphis domestica (gray short-tailed opossum). RNAcentral's name for it is "lncRNA (ENSMODG00000036853.1)". Lineage: Eukaryota; Metazoa; Chordata; Mammalia; Didelphimorphia; Didelphidae. The record is from RNAcentral.
CAAGAUCUUGAACCCAUGGGGGUUAACCACUCUUAAAUUGCCUGUCUAGACAUGCCCCUGUCUCAUCAUCUUAAUUCAGAAAUGUUGGGGAUUGGAAAGAGUUUGGAUAUUGGUUUCAGAUUAAGGCUUGAGGUGGCAGACAUCUUCACACUUGAGAGUUCCCAUGAGGAAAGGAGUAUAUUUAUCCACAGCAGUUUGAUAAUUGCUCUCAUGGGUGCUACUGUGUGCCUACAGCAUCAACUACUCUAUCUCCAAUAGUCAGAAAUUGAAAUUAAAAUAUUUAAAGAAAUCAAGUUUAAAUGGAAUUAAAUGAGAAAUGUUUUCAAACAGCUUUUUAAAAAAAUAGGACCUUGAGGAGCUCAGUUGGUUUAGGAGAACUGAGCCUGGCAAGCCUCUUGAAGCCUUUUCUACUGUGUGUUUCUUUUUCAGUGACUAAAGAGCUAAUGGACUAAAGGACUAAGGACUAAAAAGACUAAAUGGACAUGGUUAGUCUUGGAGGCCAUCUUGGGAGUUUCUCAGUCCUUAGCUGAACUAUAGAAGUGUCCCUUAUAACACUUCUUAGAGGACAAAAUGACCACCAACAAGCAGAUUUGCUCAAGCUCUAGCUUUGCUUGCUGGAAAACCUGAAGGAAACUGUUCUGUUCAGACCUGAAGUAAAAUAGGAAAUAUCUAUUCAGCAACCCUGAAAACUAUAUAUCAUGUCUUCAUGUUUUAAGUACUAACCUCCCUGUAGAGUAUGUAAUAGUAAUGAUCUUAUUGCUGCUGCUUGAAUUACACUUAGAAGGAACAGUGACAAAUUGUAUAGGAUGAAAUGCCAAGACAUAAAUAGGUAUAUAGAUAUAUGGAUGCAUUAAUACAUACAUAUGUAUAUAUAUAUAUACAUAUAUAUAUACACACACACACACAACUAGAGUUUAAAAAGAGGUUAAUACUAAAAGAAUUGGGAAAAGAAACAAAAGGGGUAAAUAUCAAAGAACAUAUACUUUAUUCAUAGAAUAAAAGUCUGAAGUCCUGGGUUCU